Molecule: long non-coding RNA, 581 nt
Filed under: Canis lupus familiaris (dog)
Lineage: Eukaryota; Metazoa; Chordata; Mammalia; Carnivora; Canidae
Description: lncRNA (ENSCAFG00030003199.1)
Source: RNAcentral
GCUCGAGUACAAAAGAAGAAAAAGGUCAUUUAUUUCCUGAUGCAACUGGGAAGCCAAGAAUGAUUGCUUCCAGGGGCUCAAAUAAUAUCACCAGAGUUGUGUCUUUCUCUUUGUAACUCUCAGCUCAGUUAGACUCUGGUUUUACUCUCAGAAGAUUCUCUUUGUAGUGGGAAAAGAAUUACUGAGAAAUAGCUCCAAGCUCACCACAAUCUUAAAGCUUUGAAUUCAGAACAAGAGAUAAAAUUUCUCUUGAUCACUCUAGUGGGGAAAAAAAAGAGAUAGAGAUUCCAGGAGACUUUGGUGGAGCUUGAAUCAGAUAUCUUUUCCUGAACUCAUCACUGUGUCCCUGAUAUUUCAGGACUAACUGCCCGAGCCUGAGACACAAGAUGCCAGCUGCAGGAAGAAGUGGGCUAGCUGUUGACUCCUAAAUACCUGGAAGAGGUAAGCAACUCCUUUCUCCAAAAGAUAUUUGAAAUAGCCAGAAGAGAAAUAGAGAUAAUACAGCAGGAAAUAAAAUUCAAUGUGGAAAAUACAUUUCAAGAGGAGAAUAAAGGUAAGAAAAUCAAAAUAUACAGUAUAUG